RNAcentral lists this ribosomal RNA (403 nucleotides) under uncultured bacterium. RNAcentral describes it as "partial 16S ribosomal RNA". It matches the Rfam family "Bacterial small subunit ribosomal RNA", at positions 28 to 526 of the family's 1533-position model. The record is from RNAcentral.
GACGAACGCUGGCGGCGUGCCUAAUACAUGCAAGUCGCACGCAGUGGGGACGGGUGAGUAACACGUGGGUAACCUCCCAUCAGAGGGGCUCACACUUGGAAACAGGUGCUAAACCGAUAAUGAUGGAUGAACCCGCGGUGCAUUAGCUAGUUGGUGAGGUAACGGCUCACCAAGGCCACGAGGCAUAGCCGACCUGAGAGGGUUAUUGGCGAGACGGGGAAUGAGAAACGGCCCAGACUCCUACGCGGGGCAGGAGUAGGAAAAGUUACAGAAUGGACGAAAGUGUGACCCAGCGACGCCGCGAGAGUGAAGAAGGGUUGCGGAUCGUAGAACUCUGAUGGUAGAGAAGCGGUAUCGAACCAGAGAGCCGCGGAUAACUACGUGCCAGCAGCCGCGGUAAUAC